UACGUAGGGUGCGAGCGUUGUCCGGAAUUAUUGGGCGUAAAGAGCUCGUAGGCGGCCUGUCGCGUCGGUCGUGAAAACUUGGGGCUUAACCCUGAGCUUGCGGUCGAUACGGGCAUGACUGGAGUUCGGUAGGGGAGACUGGAAUUCCUGGUGUAGCGGUGAAAUGCGCAGAUAUCAGGAGGAACACCGGUGGCGAAGGCGGGUCUCUGGGCCGAUACUGACGCUGAGGAGCGAAAGCGUGGGGAGCGAACAGG
This 254-nucleotide ribosomal RNA is filed under the name uncultured bacterium. RNAcentral's name for it is "partial 16S ribosomal RNA". It matches the Rfam family "Bacterial small subunit ribosomal RNA", at positions 524 to 776 of the family's 1533-position model. The record is from RNAcentral.